UACGGGGGGGGGCAAGCGUUGUUCGGAAUUCCUGGGCGUAAAGGGCUCGUAGGCGGCCAACUAAGUCGGAUGUGAAAUCCCCAGGCUUAACCUGGGAACUGCAUCCGAUACUGGAUGGCUUGAAUCCGGGAGAGGGAUGCAGAAUUCCAGGUGUAGCGGUGAAAUGCGUAGAUAUCUGGAGGAAUACCGGUGGCGAAGGCGGCAUCCUGGACCGGCAUUGACGCUGAUGAGCGAAAGCUAGGGGAGCAAACGGG
This 254-nucleotide ribosomal RNA is filed under the name uncultured bacterium. RNAcentral describes it as "partial 16S ribosomal RNA". It matches the Rfam family "Bacterial small subunit ribosomal RNA", at positions 524 to 776 of the family's 1533-position model. The record is from RNAcentral.